GUUCUCACACCUAGAUUGCAUAACCAAGAAAGUGAGUACAAUGUAAAAGGGGCUGCUAUUAUGUGUUCAGGUUCAGAGGGAGCUCAAGGGUCCCAAAGAUAGACUUACACAAGAGGGGCAGAACCUAAUCAUCUAAGAGUGCAUGUGAGAGUGCUGGACAUAGACACACAGGAGUUGAGUUGGAAAAUAAUUUUAGAAACAACAUGUUUGAAGUGAGUUUGUAAAACAACAGAAGGAUUUCCUAAUAAAGACAAUUUUAAAAAUAAAAAGAGACUAGGAGUGACAAUAACACACAGAACAAAUUCAAAGAGGAGUACAUGCUUCAGCAGUUAAAAACAGGGGAGUAAGGGGUUGGGGUCAUAGAGGAUAUUUGAUUGUAAACACAUAGUUCCAUCAUAGGUCUUAAGACUAGUCAGUCAUGCACAACAAUAGUUUAUACGUGCACAAUCACAAACUGGUCAGAGAGAACAUAAAAACAUUAAAGGGAUAGGGACUUGGGAUUCAGAGGAUGGUGGGCACACAAUAGGUGACUAAGAAAGUAUGACUUGAAACACACAUAGGGUAGUACAUUAAUCUAAAAGGGAAGGGAGACAUUACAACGUGCUGGUAAUGUAAACUAACUGUAGGUUUCACAAUAGAACCACAAGAUAAAGUGGACCAAGAAUGAGAGAGACUGAAUAAUAGAGAAGAAUGUUGUUGUUGAAGCUUUAAAAUCAAACUUGGACAUAGCAGUUAUAGAAGCAAAGUGAAGAAAGAAAAGAACCGCAAAGUCCCACAGUCUAGCCAUGGCUUUCAGCUGGCUAGACAAAGCAGUAGCACAAGAAGUACGAAAAGAAAAGAGAGUGUGAAUUUGUAUAUGUGAGCUCUUGAACUACUUGUUCCAUUAUUGAAGAGAGGGUUGGGUAUUUAUAGCUUUGAAAAAAACUAAAAAAUAAGGUUACAAUUAAAGGUUUAAUCCAAAUAUGGAAAUAAUCACAAUUAGAAUCCCAUUAACGUAAGUACUUCCCUUUAAUCAAGAAAUUGCUACUUAAUAGAUGCUAACAGGGAUAAUUAUGGAAAGAAAAUCAAUUUGAGGAAGAUUGAUUUCUGACCAUAUAAGGAAUAGUAAAGGUAUAGAGUAAAUAAUUGGGUCUAAGUGCAAAUUAUACUUAAUUUGGGGAAAGGAUUCAGGAGAGUAAAAAAUUACAGCAAAUAAAGGAAGGGAAUCAAUCAACUUAAACAAAUAAGUAAAAAUUAGGGUUUAUAAGAAUACCUUGCAAUCACACCAUAACUUAAGGAAAUCAAGAUCAAUCAAGAAGAGGUCAUGAUUCUGCAUUUCGACAUAUACAUAGAAAAAAAUGAAUAGGAGUAUCAGACAUGCAAGGCCAAACACAUUGGAAAAAGAAGCAACUAGAUAAAUAGUAACAUGAGUAUGCCAGGACUCAGCAGUAAAGGACCUACUCGAAGCAUGAUAGUCAACAAAAUCAAGUAGUCACAUCUAAAAAAAUGAAGGAAACUGUCUAAAACAAAGCAACAGGAAGAGGAGAUCAGACCAACACACGGAAAUAAGUACAGGAAGUCAUCAAAAUCUCAAAGUAACAAGUGAGAAAAGUUGUAAACAUAAAGAACUCAGUCGAAACACGACAGUUUUAGAACCCUGGAAUAAACCAAAGAUAUUUAGGGUUUUCAACAUGAUGAAUUAGGUAGAAGAAAAGCAUAAAAAAUCGUCUGAACAUAGUAAAUUCAUAAAAAAACACUAAAAAUUGGAGAAGAGAUCUUUUAAAAGUGGUUUAAAAGAACCUAAUUGCUUAAGACGAAAACUCACUCUGAAAAAUCUAAAAACCUUUAAGGAAAACCCUUAACUGGUUCAUAGCAUAUAUAAAUCUAAGACAGAUCUAAAAGAAAAUCGGAAAGCCUUUAAAGUUAGGUUUCGGGGAACCCAGAAAGAUGAGAAAGCCUUUGAAAAAUUACCGAUUUAAUCGAAAAGGUCAAGGAUCUAAAUGAAACAGUUGUGGAUGGCCUGAAAAAGACCAUAGAUAGAUGUUGAGGAAGGUCUGGACUAGAUUUCUAUGAGAUCUUUCCAUAAAAUAAUGAAAAAAGACAACCAGUAGACAUAGGAGACAAAUAUACAUGUCAAACAGCCAUGGGAGUUCACAGAAUCAAAGGGGAUUGGGGUUAGUUUGGGUGGCGACGGCUACGGUUGGUUGUCGAUUUCAGAGAGAAUUUGAGAGGAGAGGGGAUUCAAGGGCGACGGAU
RNAcentral lists this long non-coding RNA (2235 nucleotides) under Nicotiana benthamiana. RNAcentral's name for it is "long non-coding RNA (NBEN_LNC015861)". Lineage: Eukaryota; Viridiplantae; Streptophyta; Magnoliopsida; Solanales; Solanaceae. The record is from RNAcentral.